Molecule: ribosomal RNA, 828 nt
Filed under: Campylobacter sp.
Lineage: Bacteria; Pseudomonadati; Campylobacterota; Epsilonproteobacteria; Campylobacterales; Campylobacteraceae
Description: bacterial SSU rRNA
Rfam family: Bacterial small subunit ribosomal RNA
Source: RNAcentral
CUCUUACUGCUUGGGAACUGAUAGUCUAGAGUGAGGGAGAGGCAGAUGGAAUUGGUGGUGUAGGGGUAAAAUCCGUAGAUAUCACCAAGAAUACCCAUUGCGAAGGCGAUCUGCUGGAACUUAACUGACGCUAAGGCGCGAAAGCGUGGGGAGCAAACAGGAUUAGAUACCCUGGUAGUCCACGCCCUAAACGAUGUACACUAGUUGUUGGGGUGCUAGUCAUCUCAGUAAUGCAGCUAACGCAUUAAGUGUACCGCCUGGGGAGUACGGUCGCAAGAUUAAAACUCAAAGGAAUAGACGGGGACCCGCACAAGCGGUGGAGCAUGUGGUUUAAUUCGAAGAUACGCGAAGAACCUUACCUGGGCUUGAUAUCCUAAGAACCUUUUAGAGAUAAGAGGGUGCUAGCUUGCUAGAACUUAGAGACAGGUGCUGCACGGCUGUCGUCAGCUCGUGUCGUGAGAUGUUGGGUUAAGUCCCGCAACGAGCGCAACCCACGUAUUUAGUUGCUAACGGUUCGGCCGAGCACUCUAAAUAGACUGCCUUCGUAAGGAGGAGGAAGGUGUGGACGACGUCAAGUCAUCAUGGCCCUUAUGCCCAGGGCGACACACGUGCUACAAUGGCAUAUACAAUGAGACGCAAUACCGCGAGGUGGAGCAAAUCUAUAAAAUAUGUCCCAGUUCGGAUUGUUCUCUGCAACUCGAGAGCAUGAAGCCGGAAUCGCUAGUAAUCGUAGAUCAGCCAUGCUACGGUGAAUACGUUCCCGGGUCUUGUACUCACCGCCCGUCACACCAUGGGAGUUGAUUUCACUCGAAGCCGGAAUACUAACAU